UACGGAGGGUGCAAGCGUUGUCCGGAUUUAUUGGGUUUAAAGGGUGCGUAGGCGGUUCUUUAAGUCUGGGGUGAAAGCCCGUUGCUCAACAACGGAACUGCCCUGGAAACUGGAUGGCUUGAGUACAGACGAGGGUGGCGGAAUGGAUGCUGUAGCGGUGAAAUGCAUAGAUAGCAUCCAGAACCCCGAUUGCGAAGGCAGCUGCCUAGACUGUAACUGACGCUGAGGCACGAAAGCGUGGGGAGCGAACAGG
This 253-nucleotide ribosomal RNA is filed under the name uncultured bacterium. RNAcentral's name for it is "partial 16S ribosomal RNA". It matches the Rfam family "Bacterial small subunit ribosomal RNA", at positions 524 to 776 of the family's 1533-position model. The record is from RNAcentral.